Molecule: unclassified non-coding RNA, 777 nt
Filed under: Hevea brasiliensis (rubber tree)
Lineage: Eukaryota; Viridiplantae; Streptophyta; Magnoliopsida; Malpighiales; Euphorbiaceae
Source: RNAcentral
GGAGUUAGGCAGGUUCAUAUCAACAUGUCAUGUAGAACCAACAAGUAUUGAGGAGAUUUUGGGGAAGAAAAACUAAUUAACUAAGCUGAAGAGAAACAAAUUCUCAGAUUUUACUACUGAAAUCAAAAGUCAAUAGCAUCAUAGGUCUGUAAAUAAAACAUAGAAACUAAGCCCUAUUCAUAGAGUUAGAAACCCCAAUCACGUUAGGAUUCUACAUCAACAUGUAUUUGUAUAAUCUACAUUCAUUUCUUUAUUCAUUUCUUCUGUUUGGUUUAUGAUUGUGUUUCUUCAAGCAGUCAGGUCUUUAAUAUUUUAUAUUACUAAAACACUCAUAAACCAUAAUUGGCUAUUUGGUUUAUGUGGGAUGUAGUCAUUUUUACUAUAGAUUUAGCAAUAUCAUAUCCUAAAUAAAUCAAAUAACAUAGAAAAAUAUUUGCCGAUUAAAUUUUAGGGUUCUCUGAUGGAAAGUAAUAAAUGGUACUGAUUUGUAAUAAGCAUUAUUAUAAGUAGGUCUAUAAUAAGAUUCUCAUAGAUAUAUUUUUAUUUACCAUUUAAUAAUUAUGGACUAUUUUAUUGAAACUAAUGUCCAAUAACUAUUGGAAAGUAGAAUCUUUUGCAUUUUAGGACAUAACCAGCUUUUCUCAAGUCUCAACCAAGAUAAGUCCUAAGCCAAACAGAAUAGAAAAUGAUCCAUAUAAAUAACCAAACUGGUUGGUAGUGAGGCUGUGUUGAGUAAUUGCUAACUCACUAAAGUCUCAACCAGAAGUUACAUGCAGU